RNAcentral lists this long non-coding RNA (1366 nucleotides) under Chrysemys picta bellii (western painted turtle). RNAcentral describes it as "lncRNA (ENSCPBG00000003904.1)". Lineage: Eukaryota; Metazoa; Chordata; Testudines; Emydidae. The record is from RNAcentral.
AUGAAAGCAGAGAGACCACAGCAAGGCAGGGAAUUCCCCAACAGCAGAAUCCUGGCGCACAGGUCAUGUGGAAAGGCACUACAGGACAGUAAGUCACAUCUCCUGGGCCAAGCAGUUGGAUCCACAAGGGUACAUGUGCAGCCUCUAUGGAUACAGCCAUCCAGAAGGCUGAAUUUGUGUGCCAAAGAAACAGGCAGCCCAAGAGUGUGGAACUCUGCAAACAACCGUGAAAACCCCUACUUACUGAGCGACAAAGAGUACCAGUUCCUAUAUUCACCAGAAUACCUGAUCUUCAUUUCCCCAGAUGACCUGUGUUGGGACUUCGUUCAUGUUCUUACAAAGCACGUUCCAGAACUCUUCUUUGGUACAUCCUGAAAACAUAUAUAUAUUUUUAGAAAGGAAGAAAAAUUAGUAUGAAAGACAUGAACUUUGUUCCAUUUAAUGCUAUUGUCCUAGAUCCACGUGUUCUGUGUAUGGAGUAUUUCCAUUUGUGUACAAGUUACAUGUAUUAUUAUAGUCCGUGACUUUUUAUAGGACCUGUUGGUAUAGUUCUUUCUGCCAGACAAACUCUGCUCUUACAUAUUAGGUAGCAUUUGUUAUGUGUGUUUCACACAUCAUCAAGCCCCGUCAGGAUCUACAAAUACAGAUAUCAAUUCACUUGUAUCAGAAACAGAGCAGAUACACAUAGCCACUUCUGGCACAGAUGGGAGGUAAGGGCUCCUGGUUGGAAUGGGAUUAUCAUCAACUGUAGUUCUUAAAAAAACAGCUCUGUUCUUCUGAUCCCUGUGUGUUGCAUGAUGUAGCUGGCUUAUGCGAUAGCCCCCCUCAUGGCCAGGGGUCACUUUGCAGGCAUCCUGCUGCUGUUUCCCCCCCUUUUCAGGGCCCCCUUGAGACCUGCACACAAGCUUUUCACAUGGACCAAACACCCUCCUCCCACCCCGCCUGGAACUCUUGCUCUCACAAAGGAUCAAGCACGGAUACUCCAAGCCAAAACCAGCCAACGAGUACCACAGAAGCUGACACUGAGAGAACAGAGGACAAGAGCUGUGCUCCUGCUUUGUCUGCCUCGCAGCACCAAUGGAGAUAUUCCGAAGACAAAGACUUAAUAGCAAACCUCUCAAAAACAACAAGCCCAAACUGGAGCCAGUGUUGGAGGAGCAGGAUGUAGUUUGCCUUCCAUGGUGCUUUUUAGGAAAUCUGAGAAACAAGUUCAGAAGUAAUGGUUCAGAAGAUCCCUAGGCACUCCCGUUGUUUCAGAGACUACUGAGGACUGGUGGUUCCUCAAUGAGUCUGCAUAGGAUCAGUUCAGUAGACGCUGGGAUUCAAAAAGUUAAAGCUUAAUAAACCAUCAAAACACAAAUUGUCA